GUUUAUAACUUUUAAUAUAGGUUAGAUUCAACAUUCUAAACAUGUUAUAGAGGUUGUGAAAAAAAAAUGACAUAGACCUGAAAAAUACAAGGGAAAGCCGACUUUUGGUAGAUAAAGCACAGCAGUCCCCCAACUUUGAAUUCCUUAUCAGAAUUCAAAAAGAUACAACAGGUCUACAAUAUGUGCACAGUUGGGAGAAAUGAUAAAGAUGACAAGCGUGCACAUACCCCCUCAAGGGCCAGCAACAGCCUGUGCAAGUUUAUUCGAUAAUGAUCCUUCCGCAGGUUCACCUACGGAAA
Molecule: unclassified non-coding RNA, 299 nt
Filed under: uncultured fungus
Lineage: Eukaryota; Fungi
Description: sequence contains ITS1
Source: RNAcentral